CCCCGCCCCACCCCCCCCCCCCGCGCCUCUCCGGUUUCCUGAGCUGCGGGCUGCAAGGGAGGAGAAGCGGCGUCUUGCUACCCCCUCGGCUGGGCCCCGGGGUAAUUCGAUGCGGGCCUGGCGAGGCUCCCCACGCUAGACCCGGGCUCGCGUCUCGGCAGCCUCCACCCACCGGCCCACCCUACAUUUAGCGCAUCAUGUGAUCCGGGAUCAAUGUGACUCUGGAAACAAAUGGAUGAAUGAAUAUCCAUAUGAAGAGGAAAACAAUAAAGAACAUCGACACCUUUGAGAACAGAAUGUUAAUGCUUGAUGGGAUGCCGGCAGUCAGAGUCAAAACAGAGCUUUUGGAAUCUGAACAAGGGAGUGUUCUGAGGUUUGCCGAAAUUCCUGACUUUUCACUUGGUGACGCUUUUCUUGCUUGCCUCAGAAAUCAUCGGCGAUCGGGAUUGAUUCUCACUCCUUUGCAACCUCGCAUCUCACUCACUUAGAAAAGAUCACAUCCUGAAAUCAGGACGGCGUAGUGACCCUAGAAGAACCACAUGGCUGGUAUUUAAAUCGGUGAAUACUUCCGAACGCUAAUACAAAUCCAAAGCAAAGAGGAGGUGUUAGAAAAUGAGAUGGAACUAUAACUUCGGUGUGAAAAUAGCUUGGUUCGUUCUUAUUAAGUUGGGGAAUUGCAGAGUACAGGUGUGGGAAAGUUGCUGUUGAUUGGAUGGAUUUCUCUUUUGACAUUUGUAUUUCCCCUUUUUAUAGUGGAGGAAAUUUAGUUUGAAAAGCACGUAAAAGCCAAAGAAAGCCUACUGAACAAUAAUAUAGCCAAAUUGACAAAUUAAUUUAUGGCUACUAAAAGCAUAAAUACUUAAGAGCACAGCUGGGUUUUUUUAAAAGGAUGUAAGUGAUUUUAUAAUUGUUAUCAUUUAUAGCUUCAUGAGUUAAAAUCAUAAUCAGUGCAGCCUGAUUGCUGGCAGCAUUGGUUGAUCGGCCACCUUUUGUAUUUAAGGGAGAAAGCACUGCCUACCUGUCUUUUUAAACCAGCCUCACGGCGGCAGUAUACAUGACUGAAUAAAAGGGCAUCAAUUAAAUAAAUAUUUAGUCUUAAUCUUAUUAGUGUAUCCCUUAAUAAAAAAAUUCAAAAUAACACAUUAGCGGGGCUUCCCAUUGUGGCUCAGUGGUAAGGACCCUGACAAGUAACCAUGAGGAUGUGGGUUCAAUCCCUGGCCUCGCUCAGUGGGUUAGGUACCUAGCAUUACUGUGGGCUGUGGUGUAGGUUGCAGACACAGCUGGGAUCUGGCAUUGCUGUGUCUGUGGUGUAAGCCUGCAGCUGCAAUUCUGACUCGACCCCUAGCUGGGGGAACUUCCAUAUGCCGCAUGUGUGGCCCUACACAGCAAAAGCAAAAACGCAUGAGCAAUGUUUUGUCAUUGAGCAAUCCAAAGAAAUUUCAAGUGUGCUUAAAAUCUCGCUGGUGGAAAAAUCAAAUGCCUGAGUUCUUCUGGGACCCCAUUCAAAAGGUUAGGCCACUGAUGUACCAAAAGGAUUUAAGGAUGCGGACAGCCAAGGGCAAGGAUCUCGAUGGUGGGUAGCAUGUAGAGGGCUUCUGCAGUAACUUCCCCAUUCCUGACUACUAUUUGGCAGAGGGCAAGGCAUCUCAUAAUGUAUUUCUCUUCAGUGUAAGCCAGUGUCUGAAGCAGAUCCCCGUCAUGUAGAAGCUGCCAUUUCCUCACGUUCAGUGUAGGCUGUGGUAGCUCUGCAACGGACUUGGUGGAGUUUGUGACGUAAUGACUGACUCACAGAGAUUCAGCUGCAGACUUGGGCAGUAGGACAUCAUGAAAGAAAUGACCACAUGGCGGUUAUUAAUAUUAUUUGUUCAUUGUUGACAAAUCUUCAGAAAAGGUCAUAUAUUCACCUGGAUAUUCUAGCCUGAGCUUUUUUGUCUUUUCUAGGGCUGCACCCUUGGCAUAUGGAGGUUCCUAGGUUAGGGGUCUAAUCAGAGCUGUAGCCACCGGCCUACUCCAGAGUCACAGCAGUGGGAGAUGCGAGCCAUGUCUGCGACCUACACCACAGCUCACAGCAAAGCCUGAUCCUUAACCCGCUGAGUGAGGCCAGGGAUCGAACCCACAACCUCAUGGUUCCUAGUCGGAUUCGUUAACCGCUGAGCCAUGAUGGGAACUCCAAGUUCCGUUUUCUUAAUCAAAAUUAUAUUUCACAAUGUUGCUUUUAUUUCACGGUAUGUUCUUCAGCUUGAAUAGCAGUAAAUCUGUUCAAGUCAUCGAUGUUGGAGGAAGGCAGAAAAGUACAGAACAUCAGCCAGAAUAUACUACCUAGGCUGUUAGUUAAAGCCAGCCUAGGGUGUGGUUGUCACCAGUCUGGACAACCUCUAAGGACAUCCAAAUACUUCUCUCCCCUUUACUGUCAUUUUUCAGUUUUAUGGUAAAGUUUGCAUGAAAGAUUUAGGUGCAUAAAAAACAAAAGCCAAUAUUCCCUGGGGUUUUACAAUGUGAGUAAGAAACUCUUGUCACAUUAUUUAUAGAAGGUAUUUUUCUGUUCUCAAAUAGGGACAGGAAAAAUUGUAGGUUCUAGGUUUUACUUCAUGCACGUUCGUAAGAAUCAAUUUUCCUCCUUGUGAAUGGAGCUGAUGUUGGUAGUUUAAUCCUAAUUUAGAUUGUGUAUGUUGGAGGGGAGUAGAAACUUGAUUUUUUUUCUUAUUCUUUGUAUGUACUUUUUAAAAAUACAUGACAGAUAUAAUUGCAUUCUUUUUUACAGGAAAGCUUUAAGAGAAGCAGAGCACAGUAUUUAAUGAAAUGUAUUAUCACUUGAUUAUUUAUAGAACAUAAUUAUUUGUAUUGAGUCAUUUGUAAUACUUUCAACCAGCUCUUCUUUAAAGAGAUAAAAGCUAGAAUGUUAGUGAAAUUCAUUUUUGGUCCUUUUACUAGACUUUUUCAUUGAGGAUAAUGGGAUGGGUGAGAAUACUGUGUAGUGUUCAGAAUCUCAGAACUACUUUCAGAUAGGGAGCGCUGGAAGGUCUGAAGAUGUCGUCAUUUCCAUCUUACAGAACUCUCUCCUCAUUGAGUAUUAAAGGCUACUUGAACUUUGAUUCUUCAUAAGAAAAUGUAUACAUAUUGGUGACAUCAAAAGACUCACAUGUAUGAGGCGUUCCCGUCAUGGCUCAGUGGUUAACGAUCUUGACUAGGACCCAUGAGGACGAGAGUUGGAUCCCUGGCCUUGCUCAGUGGGUUAAGGAUCCGGUGUUGCUGUGAGCUGUGGUGUAGGUCGAAGAUGCGGCUCAGAUCCUGCGUUGCUGUGGCUGUGGUGUAGACCAUCAGCUGUAGCUCCAGUUUGACCCCUAGCCGGGGGAACUUCCUCAUGCCAUGGCUGUGGCCCUAAAAAGACAAAAGACAAAAAAUAAAAAAAAAUACCCCCCCCCCGCCAACUCCCCCCCCAAAAAAACCAGACAUUCACAUGUGUGAUUAUGGGCUUUUAAAAAAGAUGACCUAUUAGUUGCAGUGAACAAAAAGUUGUAGAUGUGUAACUUUGCAUCAUGACAGUGAAUGGGAAAGCCUGAAACGGAUGCAUUGAUGGGAUUCUGUAAUCACUGUGGAAACCUAGUUUUCAGACUCUUCCGUCUAUGUUUAGGGGAAGGAGAGUAAGUCUGUCUUUCAGGCUGCAGGCAGCAUUAUAAAGAUCUGCUACUUGACGUGGCCUUCCUAUCUCAGGGCACCGCAAAAGCACCUGUUCCUUCUCUCUUUCUUGCUAUAAAUAGUCCCUUAGUUCUUCUCUGUCAGCUGGUCUCUCCAUGUGGUCCCUCCCACCCCGCCAAGGAAUUCAGGACCUGAUGAGCACAUUUCAGAGCUUAAAGAAAGAACUGUGGAGCAGACUUUCUCUCGAACAUUCUGGCUGCCUUGCCUCAUUCUCGUCCUCGUUUUGUGUGUGUAUUUGGUCCCGUCUCUUCAAUCAGAUCCUAAGCUCUUAGAGGGCAAGAACUAUUUCUUAUAUUUCCCUUGUAGCUCCUGGCACCUGGUUGGUGCUCCGUAAAUACAUGCUUUAUUCAGCUUGUGCAGGCAUUAUAACUGGCCUGGUGCAAAAUAGGAAGCCAGGCAGUAGCCAGUUGUAAACCUGCUCUGUCUCCCUUAUAGGGUUAUUGCAAACAUAACAAUAAACAUUGAAAAUAACAGAGUCCCAUGGGUGGCAGCCUUCAUCUUGUUGCUGUGUGAACUGGGUAGAUAAGAGUGGUUCAUUCAGACCUCCUCUCUGCACCUUCCUUCUGUUUGGCACCCUUUGUUUGGUGGUCGUUAAGGCGAUUGUUAUUGCCGUCUCCUGCGAAGUGAUUUCACAUUUCUUCAGGCUUGUGGGUAAUACAGCACAUGUGGCCACAUGAUCCAUGGCCAGGGCACAUGUUCUCAUGAUGGACUUUGGGGGCGACUCUGUCUGUGACCUUUGGUGCUCUGUGUCCUGCUGUGACAAGAGCGUCCCAGUGCUGGCAGCCUUUGGAUGUGCUCACACAUUAGGAAGCAUAGGACUGAGACAGGAAGAGGAAUAUUCAGAAAUGAGGUUGUGUGCAGGGAGUGGGUACCAGUUCAAAGACAGAAAACGUAUGAUGUUAUCCCUGGCCCUGUAGCUCACCAGCCUGAGUGGCAUGGGGAAGUGACUUCUGUCUCCAGGCUUCUGUAUCUUCGUCUGUGCAGUAGGGGUGUUGGAGCCGAGGCCUUCCACAUUCAAUCUGAUGUUAGGCCAGGAGUGAGAAAAAGCAUUUCCAGUCAUGAGUCCAACAGCCAGCCUGCAGCAAAGUGACCUGCAUGCGGAAGCAGAAAUGCACAGACUUUCAGGUCAGGCAGACCUGAGUUCACAUGCUUCAGCCAGGGUCCCAGAGGGUCCUAGAGGUAGGACAAAAGAGCCUAAUGGUUUUGUCCCUGAAGGCAGUUUGCAGGAGCUUUGGCCACCUGUUGUGAGGGACUUUCAUAACAAGGUGUGGAAGGCGUUUCUGUAUUACAGAGAACUGUCUCCUACCAUGUAGGCCACAAAGAAGUCACUUCCUUGAGAACAGAGCUGAUGUGUUAGGUUCCUCGUUAUUCCUCAUCGUCCCCAGCACAGGGAGCUGAUUGUUAGGCAGGGCUCAGCAAAUAGCGAUCAGUUCAGAUGCUCUUUAUUCUAAGUGGGAGCCAGUGUCACACUAGAAUUGAGAGGAUUUUGAGACAGGUGCCAUUUGCCAAAGCCCCCAAUUCUUUUUUUGUUUAAUUAUUUUUAAACAUUGAAGUAUAGUUGAUACACAGUAUUGUGCCAUUUGCUGUUUACUGCAAAGUGACCCAGACAUUCACAUACAGACAUUUUUUUCCUUAUAUUAUCUUCCAUCUUGUUCUCUCCCAAGAGAUUGGAUAUAUUUCCUGGGGUGAUACAGUAGGACCUCACUGCUUAGCCCUUCUAAAUGCAAUAGUUUGCAUCUGCUCACCCCAAACUCUUAGCCCUAAUAAACAAAUGGAGAUGGGCAAGAAUUGUAGCUGGACCUAGAGAUGUGUGAUGGAGUGCUUUACGGGAGAGAGAGAGUUACAUUAAAAUUCACCUGCUUUAGAGAAAAAAAUCCAGUAACAAACCUACCUUCUUCUUCUUUCCGUAAACCACUGUUUAAUUUAACAUAAAAGAUGUUAAUAUACAUCUGUGUGUAAAAGCUUAGUGAGACAGUGUUACUUUAAUGACUUGAUCAGAAGAGAAGAGAAGACAUUAUAAAAAUGCCACUUGCAUUACCCUUUAACAGAGCCUCAUUAUUCCGUCCCCUACUGUGGAACAGAAGUCGGCCUAGCUCGUAAAUUGGUAGAAUUAUCUUAGACAUAUGAAUUUGCUUAUCAUUUAAUAUUCUCUGAUGACCCACUACUUGAGAUCUUUUGAUCUCUAGUCAAAUCUUUGCCUAUCACUACCUGACUUCAAAGGGAAACCCAUGCAGAAGCUAUGUGACGGCGAAUGGAAGACUUUUUUUUUU
RNAcentral lists this long non-coding RNA (5966 nucleotides) under Sus scrofa (pig). Its description in RNAcentral is "lncRNA (ENSSSCG00015055676.1)". Lineage: Eukaryota; Metazoa; Chordata; Mammalia; Artiodactyla; Suidae. The record is from RNAcentral.